RNAcentral lists this ribosomal RNA (545 nucleotides) under Didymium nigripes. Its description in RNAcentral is "SSU rRNA". It matches the Rfam family "Eukaryotic small subunit ribosomal RNA", at positions 28 to 536 of the family's 1831-position model. The record is from RNAcentral. Lineage: Eukaryota; Evosea; Eumycetozoa; Physariida; Didymiaceae.
AUGCUUCUCUUAAAGACUAAGCCAUGCAUGCCUUUGAAUAGGAAGAAGCAAUUCUCUCUGAAUCUGCGAACGGCUCCGCACACCAGUUGUAAACUACUGCAAGCACGCCUUGUCUGCUUUAAUUAGCGGCUCGGCCAAACGGAUAUCCCUGGUAAUUCUGAGGCUAAUACGAGAACGUACAGCUCUUUCGACUGCAAAGAAGGAAGGGAGGUGUGUGAUCAAGCAUGAAGAAAAGCUAGGAGAAGUCGCACGCCUGGACUGCGUAAAAAACGAUCGGGAUUCCUCGCGUCUCUCGUUCGAGCAGCUCUUGCAUUGUGCUUCUGACCUAUCAACUAAACGACAGUGUAAUGUACGUGCAGUGGUUACAACGGGUACAGAGGAUAAGGGUUCGAUCCUGGAGAGUGGGCCUGAGAGAUUGCUCAUACUUCUAAGGAAGGCAGCAGGCGCGCAACGUUCCCCUUGUACAACGUAUGAGGGCGUUAGGAGACAUAUGAAUGUUUGCCUUUUAGGUGAACAAUUCAAAUGAGUUUGUUGUAAACAGGCUC